Molecule: long non-coding RNA, 137 nt
Organism: Carassius auratus (goldfish)
Lineage: Eukaryota; Metazoa; Chordata; Actinopteri; Cypriniformes; Cyprinidae
Exons: 3
Source: RefSeq, a predicted model, not a curated record
GUAAUUACCAGCAGAGUCUCACAUCUCUCACUGCUGAUUUCUGAGCAACGUUGAUGCUUUGAUAGCCUACACUAACCAGCUUUUGGUCGUGUUUGUCCCAGUUUUGUCUGUCCCAGGCCCAGUAAAACAAGACUUGA